This 497-nucleotide ribosomal RNA is filed under the name uncultured bacterium. RNAcentral's name for it is "partial 16S ribosomal RNA". It matches the Rfam family "Bacterial small subunit ribosomal RNA", at positions 28 to 507 of the family's 1533-position model. The record is from RNAcentral.
GAUGAACGCUGGCGGCGUGCCUAAUACAUGCAAGUCGAGCGAACGGACGAGAAGCUUGCUUUUCUGAUGUUAGCGGCGGACGGGUGAGUAACACGUGGAUAACCUACCUAUAAGACUGGGAUAACUUCGGGAAACCGGAGCUAAUACCGGAUAAUAUUUUGAACCGCAUGGUUCAAAAGUGAAAGACAGUCUUGCUGUCACUUAUAGAUGGAUCCGCGCUGCAUUAGCUAGUUGGUAAGGUAACGGCUUACCAAGGCAACGAUGCAUAGCCGACCUGAGAGGGUGAUCGGCCACACUGGAACUGAGACACGGUCCAGACUCCUACGGGAGGCAGCAGUAGGGAAUCUUCCGCAAUGGGCGAAAGCCUGACGGAGCAACGCCGCGUGAGUGAUGAAGGUCUUCGGAUCGUAAAACUCUGUUAUUAGGGAAGAACGUAUGUGUAAGUAACUGUGCACAUCUUGACGGUACCUAAUCAGAAAGCCACGGCUAACUACGUG